Oncorhynchus tshawytscha (Chinook salmon) is the source of this 340-nucleotide long non-coding RNA. Lineage: Eukaryota; Metazoa; Chordata; Actinopteri; Salmoniformes; Salmonidae. The record is from Ensembl.
AGAGGGGGAAGAGAGAGAAGAGAGAGAGAGGGAGUGAAACAGAGAAAGAGAAGAGAGAGAGAGGGGGUGAAACAGAGAGAGAAGAGAGAGAGGGAGGGAAAGAGAGAGAAGAGAGAGAAGAGGGAGGGAGUGAAACAGAGAAAGAGAAGAGAGAGAAGAGAGAGAAGAGGGAGGGAGUGAAACAGAGAGAGAAGAGAGAGAAGAGAGAGAGAGGGAGUGAAACAGAGAAAGAGAAGAGAGAGAAGAGAGAGAAGAGAGAGAGAGGGAGAGAAACAGAGAAAGAAGAGAGAGAAGAGAGAGAAGAGGGAGUGAAACAGAGAAAGAGAAGAGAGAAGAGGGA